RNAcentral lists this ribosomal RNA (1309 nucleotides) under metagenome. RNAcentral describes it as "bacterial LSU rRNA". It matches the Rfam family "Bacterial large subunit ribosomal RNA", at positions 1628 to 2925 of the family's 2925-position model. The record is from RNAcentral.
CAGUUGAAUGAAGACCGUGCCGUAAACCGACACAGGUGGGUAGGAUGAGAAUUCUAAGGCGCUUGAGAGAACUCAGGAGAAGGAACUCGGCAAAAUAGCACCGUAACCUCGGGAAAAGGUGUGCCCUUUGUAUGUGUAGCGCCUCGCGCGUGAAGCAGAAUAGGGUUGCAAUGAAAUGGUGGCUGCGACUGUUUAAUAAAAACAUAGCACUCUGCAAACACGAAAGUGGACGUAUAGAGUGUGACGCCUGCCCGGUGCCGGAAGGUUAAAUGAUGGGGUGCAAGCUCUUGAUUGAAGCCCCGGUAAACGGCGGCCGUAACAAUAACGGUCCUAAGGUAGCGAAAUUCCUUGUCGGGUAAGUUCCGACCUGCACGAAUGGCGUAACGAUGGCCACACUGUCUCCUCCUGGGACUCAGCGAAGUUGAAAUGUUUGUGAAGAUGCAAUCUCCCCGCGGCUAGACGGAAAGACCCCGUGCACCUUUACUGUAGCUUUACAUUGGACUUUGAUAACAUUUGUGUAGGAUAGGUGGGGGGCUUUGAAGUGGGUUCGCCAGAAUUCAUGGAGCCAACGUUGAAAUACCACCCUGAUGUUGUUGAGGUUCUAACCUAGAUCCAUUAUCUGGAUUGGGGACCGUCUAUGGUAGGCAGUUUGACUGGGGCGGUCUCCUCCCAAAUUGUAACGGAGGAGUACGAAGGUACGCUAGGUACGGUCGGAAAUCGUGCUGAUAGUGCAAUGGCAAAAGCGUGCUUAACUGCGAGACUGACAAGUCGAGCAGAUGCGAAAGCAGGUCAUAGUGAUCCGGUGGUUCUGUAUGGAAGGGCCAUCGCUCAACGGAUAAAAGGUACGCCGGGGAUAACAGGCUGAUUCCUCCCAAGAGUUCAUAUCGACGGGGGAGUUUGGCACCUCGAUGUCGGCUCAUCACAUCCUGGGGCUGUAGCCGGUCCCAAGGGUAUGGCUGUUCGCCAUUUAAAGUGGUACGUGAGCUGGGUUUAAAACGUCGUGAGACAGUUUGGUCCCUAUCUGCCGUGGGCGUUGGAAGUUUGAGUGGACCUGCUCCUAGUACGAGAGGACCGGAGUGGACGCACCUCUGGUGUACCGGUUAUGACGCCAGUCGUAUCGCCGGGUAGCUAUGUGCGGAAGAGAUAACCGCUGAAAGCAUCUAAGCGGGAAACUCUCCUCAAGAUGAGACUUCCCGAGGGUUUAACCCUCCUAAAGGUUCGUCGAAGACUACGACGUUGAUAGGUCGGGUGUGGAAGCAUAGUGAUAUGUUAAGCUAACCGAUACUAAUUGACCGUGAGGCUUGAUCCU